CCUGGCGGCCAUAGCGCGGUGGACCCACCUGAACCCAUGCCGAACUCAGAAGUGAAACGCCGUAGCGCCGAUGGUAGUGUGGGGUCUCCCCAUGCGAGAGUAGGACACUG
Molecule: ribosomal RNA, 110 nt
Filed under: Yersinia enterocolitica
Lineage: Bacteria; Pseudomonadati; Pseudomonadota; Gammaproteobacteria; Enterobacterales; Yersiniaceae
Also listed under: 1 other name
Source: RNAcentral